UCCUGUUUCAGUGCUACAACAGAAUGUGAG
This 30-nucleotide non-coding RNA is filed under the name Rattus norvegicus (Norway rat). The record is from RNAcentral. Lineage: Eukaryota; Metazoa; Chordata; Mammalia; Rodentia; Muridae.